RNAcentral lists this ribosomal RNA (497 nucleotides) under uncultured bacterium. RNAcentral's name for it is "partial 16S ribosomal RNA". It matches the Rfam family "Bacterial small subunit ribosomal RNA", at positions 28 to 507 of the family's 1533-position model. The record is from RNAcentral.
GAUGAACGCUGGCGGCGUGCCUAAUACAUGCAAGUCGAGCGAACGGACGAGAAGCUUGCUUCUCUGAUGCUAGCGGCGGACGGGUGAGUAACACGUGGAUAACCUACCUAUAAGACUGGGAUAACUUCGGGAAACCGGAGCUAAUACCGGAUAAUAUUUUGAACCGCAUGGUUCAAAAGUGAAAGACGGUCUUGCUGUCACUUAUAGAUGGAUCCGCGCUGCAUUAGCUAGUUGGUAAGGUAACGGCUUACCAAGGCAACGAUGCAUAGCCGACCUGAGAGGGUGAUCGGCCACACUGGAACUGAGACACGGUCCAGACUCCUACGGGAGGCAGCAGUAGGGAAUCUUCCGCAAUGGGCGCAAGCCUGACGGAGCAACGCCGCGUGAGUGAUGAAGGUCUUCGGAUCGUAAAACUCUGUUAUUAGGGAAGAACAUAUGUGUAAGUAACUGUGCACAUCUUGACGUUACCUAAUCAGAAAGCAACGGCUAACUACGUG